Molecule: long non-coding RNA, 1107 nt
Filed under: Ursus thibetanus thibetanus
Lineage: Eukaryota; Metazoa; Chordata; Mammalia; Carnivora; Ursidae
Description: lncRNA (ENSUTTG00000010764.1)
Source: RNAcentral
GCAGCUGGUCCGCAGCCUCCACCACGCCUUCCACCCAAUCUAGUCUCAAGAGGGCCGCCUUGUGAUCUUCCAAAAGUGCAAAUCAAUUGUGCCCCAGUCUUUGGUGCGCUCCAAUCCUCUUAUGGCCUAGCUGGUCUCCCCCACAUUUCUCACCACUCACCCCUCACUCUACAAUCCCAGGGCUCCCCCAUCUCUUUCCAUUUCCUCCAGCAAGUCGAGCUGGUUCUGCUAGACUGCACAGCUGGUCUCUGAAUUCCUCUGGGAAGACUGGCCUUCUGAUCAGGAAAGAACGAUCUUUUCAACAAAUGGUUCUGGGACGACUGGAUAUCCACACAUGAAAGAAAGAAUUUGGACCCGGACUUCCCACCAGACACAAAAAGGAACUCAAAAUGGAUCAAGCACUUAAAUGAACAGAUACAGGCACCAGGGUGCUUUCCGUGGACACUUGUUGACGGACCACAUGAGGAUUUAGAACAGAGCUUGCUGCAUACGACAGAAGCCCUGCUGGGAUGGCUUCAACAGGUGAGGACGGCGGAGGCUGGAGUGGGGCCAGCGGCUGGUACAGCAGCUCCAUAUGCUGCCAGGAGCCCGGGCACCUCUGACUUUCCGUGAGUGUCCCCCAUGUGCUUCUGCGGUCCUGCGGUCACAGCGGGGCUGCUGUGCUUCCAGGCACCACACCUGAGGUGCUGGCAGGGGGAAGGGGUGAGGGCAAAUAGCAAUCCAGCCUCACCUGCCCACUUUUAUUAAAGCAACAGCUUUCCCAGAAGUCCUACCCUGUAGACUUCCACCUCGUCUCACGGCCACAACUAGGCCAACAGUCACUCCUGAUGACAAAGCAGUCCUGAAAAUCAACUAUGGGGUAAUGUAUAUACUGCUGCCCAGACAAAAUUUGGGGUUUGUGAGUGAGGGGGAAGGAGGAAAUAGCCACUAGGGAGGAGACAAACAGUGUUGAGUGCUUGAAGACACAGACCCCAGCUAGACUGGCCUCCUCUUUGCAGGCGUAGAGGGGGAGGGAUGUCAGGUUCUGUGGCUCCUUAGACGCCCAUUCCCCAAUCGCUUUCUCCAUUCUCUGUGUACGGUGGGUCAUUGUCAGUGAGCUUCAGGGGC